GCGGUAAGAGCGCACCGCGAACGCUGGUAACAGCGUCGGCAGGGAAAACCCCGACCGGAGCAAGACCAAAUAGGGGGGCGUUGAUGUGGCCCGCAGAGUCCCCGGGUAGGUUGCUUCAGCCAUACGGUGACGUAUGGCGCAGAUGAAUGAUGGUCCUCGACAGAACCCGGCUUAUCGGCUGACUCAACAA
RNAcentral lists this RNase P RNA (190 nucleotides) under bacterium. Its description in RNAcentral is "partial RNase P RNA component class A". It matches the Rfam family "Bacterial RNase P class A", at positions 164 to 367 of the family's 367-position model. From Rfam's summary of the family: Ribonuclease P (RNase P) is a ubiquitous endoribonuclease, found in archaea, bacteria and eukarya as well as chloroplasts and mitochondria. Its best characterised activity is the generation of mature 5'-ends of tRNAs by cleaving the 5'-leader elements of precursor-tRNAs. The record is from RNAcentral.